RNAcentral lists this transfer RNA (72 nucleotides) under Stegodyphus mimosarum. It matches the Rfam family "tRNA". From Rfam's summary of the family: Transfer RNA (tRNA) molecules are approximately 80 nucleotides in length. Their secondary structure includes four short double-helical elements and three loops (D, anti-codon, and T loops). Further hydrogen bonds mediate the characteristic L-shaped molecular structure. tRNAs have two regions of fundamental functional importance: the anti-codon, which is responsible for specific mRNA codon recognition, and the 3' end, to which the tRNAs corresponding amino acid is attached (by aminoacyl-tRNA synthetases). tRNAs cope with the degeneracy of the genetic code in two manners: having more than one tRNA (with a specific anti-codon) for a particular amino acid; and 'wobble' base-pairing, i.e. permitting non-standard base-pairing at the 3rd anti-codon position. Lineage: Eukaryota; Metazoa; Arthropoda; Arachnida; Araneae; Eresidae. The record is from Rfam by way of RNAcentral.
GCCUUCGUGGUGUAGUGGUUAGCACACUCGGCGCGUAUUCGAGAAGUCCAGGUUCGAGUCUCGCCAAGGGCA